RNAcentral lists this ribosomal RNA (794 nucleotides) under uncultured bacterium. Its description in RNAcentral is "bacterial SSU rRNA". It matches the Rfam family "Bacterial small subunit ribosomal RNA", at positions 8 to 796 of the family's 1533-position model. The record is from RNAcentral.
AGAGUUUGAUCCUGGCUCAGGACGAACGCUGGCGGCGUGCUUAACACAUGCAAGUCGAACGGGGCCUGACUGGUGGCAACACCGGGCAGGCCCAGUGGCGAACGGGUGCGUAACACGUGAGCAACCUGUCCCGAAGACUGGGAUAACAUCGGGAAACCGGUGCUAAUACUGGAUAUUCCCACUGGGUCACAUGGCCCUAUGAGGAAAUAGCUGUACCAACAGGUACAGCCGCUUCGGGAGGGGCUCGCGGCCUAUCAGCUUGUUGGUGGGGUAAUGGCUCACCAAGGCUCCGACGGGUAGCUGGUCUGAGAGGACGACCAGCCACACUGGGACUGAGACACGGCCCAGACUCCUACGGGAGGCAGCAGUGGGGAAUCUUGCGCAAUGGGCGAAAGCCUGACGCAGCAAUGCCGCGUGGGGGAUGAAGGCCUUCGGGUUGUAAACCCCUUUCAGCAGGGACGAAAAUGACGGUACCUGCAGAAGAAGCCCCGGCCAACUACGUGCCAGCAGCCGCGGUAAUACGUAGGGGGCGAGCGUUGUCCGGAUUUAUUGGGCGUAAAGAGCUCGUAGGCGGCUUAGCAAGUCGGGUGUGAAACCUCCAGGCUCAACCUGGAGACGCCACCCGAGACUGCUAUGGCUAGAGUCCGGUAGGGGAUCACGGAAUUCCUGGUGUAGCGGUGAAAUGCGCAGAUAUCAGGAGGAACACCGGUGGCGAAGGCGGUGAUCUGGGCCGGCACUGACGCUGAGGUAGCGAAAGCGUGGGGAGCGAACAGGAUUAGAUACCCUGGUAGUCC